This 423-nucleotide ribosomal RNA is filed under the name uncultured bacterium. RNAcentral's name for it is "bacterial SSU rRNA". It matches the Rfam family "Bacterial small subunit ribosomal RNA", at positions 207 to 622 of the family's 1533-position model. The record is from RNAcentral.
AAGACCUUGCGCUUUUGGAGCGGCCGAUGCCUGAUUAGCUUGUUGGUAAGGUAAAGGCUUACCAAGGCUUCGAUCAGUAGCUGGUCUGAGAGGACGGCCAGCCACACUGGGACUGAGACACGGCCCAGACUCCUACGGGAGGCAGCAGUGGGGAAUUUUGGACAAUGGGGGAAACCCUGAUCCAGCCAUGCCGCGUGAGUGAAGAAGGCCUUCGGGUUGUAAAGCUCUUUCAGCCGGAACGAAACGGUUACGGAUAAUACCCGUGACUACUGACGGUACCGGAAGAAGAAGCACCGGCUAACUACGUGCCAGCAGCCGCGGUAAUACGUAGGGUGCGAGCGUUAAUCGGAAUUACUGGGCGUAAAGCGUGCGCAGGUGGUUUUGUAAGUCAGAUGUGAAAGUCCCGGGCUCAACCUGGGAACU